This 541-nucleotide ribosomal RNA is filed under the name uncultured eukaryote. RNAcentral describes it as "SSU rRNA". It matches the Rfam family "Eukaryotic small subunit ribosomal RNA", at positions 202 to 746 of the family's 1831-position model. The record is from RNAcentral.
UGUAUUUAUUAGAUUAAAAACCAAUGCCCUUCGGGGCUCCUUGGUGAUUCAUAAUAACUUAACGAAUCGCAUGGCCUUGUGCCGGCGAUGGUUCAUUCAAAUUUCUGCCCUAUCAACUUUCGAUGGUAGUAUAUGGGACUACCAUGGUUUCAACGGGUAACGGGGAAUUAGGGUUCUAUUCCGGAGAGGGAGCCUGAGAAACGGCUACCACAUCCAAGGAAGGCAGCAGGCGCGCAAAUUACCCAAUCCCGACACGGGGAGGUAGUGACAAUAAAUACUGAUACAGGGCUCUUUUGGGUCUUGUAAUUGGAAUGAGUACAAUUUAAAUCCCUUAACGAGGAACAAUUGGAGGGCAAGUCUGGUGCCAGCAGCCGCGGUAAUACCAGCUCCAAUAGCGUAUAUUAAAGUUGUUGCAGUUAAAAAGCUCGUAGUUGAACCUUGGGCCUGGCUGGCCGGUCCGCCUCACCGCGUGUACUGGUCCGGCCGGGCCUUUCCUUCUGGAGAGCCCCAUGCCCCUCACUGGGCGUGUGGGGGAACCAGG